This 756-nucleotide transfer RNA is filed under the name uncultured Synechococcus sp. RNAcentral describes it as "16S-23S ribosomal RNA intergenic spacer". The stretch from base 268 to 340 matches the Rfam family "tRNA". Lineage: Bacteria; Bacillati; Cyanobacteriota; Cyanophyceae; Synechococcales; Synechococcaceae. The record is from RNAcentral.
CAGGGAGACAACACAAUGAUUUUGAUGCCUGAGUGCUUUUAUUCUUAGGCCGAAAUCCUGUCACCUUAGGUCGAUCGGUACCUCAGCUUUGAAGUCAAGAAUCAGCAGCAAUGUUGAUUGCUUGAUGGAGAUUUUCAGUUCCUAAACUUUGUCUAGGUCACACCCCAAAAGGGAUGAGACUCCUGGGCCAUUAGCUCAGGUGGUUAGAGCGCACCCCUGAUAAGGGUGAGGUCCCUGGUUCAAGUCCAGGAUGGCCCAUUCGGUGUUGGGGGUUUAGCUCAGUUGGUAGAGCGCCUGCUUUGCAAGCAGGAUGUCAGGAGUUCGAGUCUCCUAACCUCCACUGACCGAACUUUUUCCCCAUCUCCAAAUCGUUGGAGCUGAGCUCGAUUGGCGUGUGAUUUAGAUGUGUCCGCUGGAUGACCCCAGCUUCCUGUCAUUCCAAGUUUUAAGUUGAAAGCUUUGAAUUUGGUUGAUAAGAUGCUGGGCUCGAACUGAGCAAUCAGUUUGAAGUUCUAGCAGAACCUUGACAACUGCAUAGGUGAAGUCUGGAAAAAACAAAGCAUCUUACAGAUGCAUUGUUUUGAAUCUGAUCUUCCGAAAGGGAGAUUGGAUCCAGAACAAUGAAAAUUCUUUUGAGCAAGAGCCGAGACUCUUGAACGUUCUUUGAUUGGUGUCGAGCCAAUCAGAGUUUGAUCUUGUUUUUAGCAAUAAAAACUGAGAAUCUGCUUCAACGGUGGUAGCGUUCAGAGGUAAUUG